ACCCCGGCGAGGGGAGUGAAAAAGAACCUGAAACCGUGUACGUACAAGCAGUGGGAGCACCUUCGGGUGUGACUGCGUACCUUUUGUAUAAUGGGUCAGCGACUUAUAUUCUGUAGCAAGGUUAACCGUAUAGGGGAGCCGCAGGGAAACCGAGUCUUAACUGGGCGUUAAGUUGCAGGGUAUAGACCCGAAACCCGGUGAUCUAGCCAUGGGCAGGUUGAAGGUUGGGUAACACUAACUGGAGGACCGAACCGACUAAUGUUGAAAAAUUAGCGGAUGACUUGUGGCUGGGGGUGAAAGGCCAAUCAAACCGGGAGAUAGCUGGUUCUCCCCGAAAGCUAUUUAGGUAGCGCCUCGUGAACUCAUCUUCGGGGGUAGAGCACUGUUUCGGCUAGGGGGUCAUCCCGACUUACCAACCCGAUGCAAACUACGAAUACCGAAGAAUGUUAUCACGGGAGACACACGGCGGGUGCUAACGUCCGUCGUGAAGAGGGAAACAACCCAGACCG
This 509-nucleotide ribosomal RNA is filed under the name Klebsiella pneumoniae. RNAcentral's name for it is "partial 23S ribosomal RNA". It matches the Rfam family "Bacterial large subunit ribosomal RNA", at positions 523 to 1034 of the family's 2925-position model. The record is from RNAcentral. Lineage: Bacteria; Pseudomonadati; Pseudomonadota; Gammaproteobacteria; Enterobacterales; Enterobacteriaceae.